AAGAAUUGAUAUUCGGCAUGAUAAGUGGGGCUUCCAGGGUCUUAGCGGGGAUUCCAUUAACCAUGCGUUGCUGACCGAAAGUGAAAAGGUGAUUAAAGACAUAUGGCAUCAAGAUAAUAUGGAGUGAAACCAGGAGAGGGUGUGUGAGCUGUUUGGUAAGAAGGUGGGGGAUCAAAUUUGUGAUUUACCCAUCUCUAAAGGAGCCUUCGAAGAUAGAUUGACUUGGAUUCAUAAUCUGUAUGGCUGUUAC
Molecule: long non-coding RNA, 250 nt
Filed under: Gossypium barbadense (sea-island cotton)
Lineage: Eukaryota; Viridiplantae; Streptophyta; Magnoliopsida; Malvales; Malvaceae
Description: long non-coding RNA (GBAR_LNC001755)
Source: RNAcentral